UAGCCGUAAAACGAUACUCGCUAGGUGUCGGCCACGGUGCGACCGUUGUCGGUGCCGUAGGGAAGCCGUGAAGCGAGCCACCUGGGAAGUACGGCCGCAAGGCUGAAACUUAAAGGAAUUGGCGGGGGAGCACAACAACGGGUGGAGCUUGCGGUUUAAUUGGAUUCAACGCCGGAAAUCUUACCGGGACCGACAGCAACAUGAAGGCCAAGCUGAAGACUUUGCCGGAUUAGCUGAGAGGAGGUGCAUGGCGUCAGUGACU
Molecule: ribosomal RNA, 262 nt
Filed under: uncultured archaeon
Lineage: Archaea
Description: partial 16S ribosomal RNA
Rfam family: Archaeal small subunit ribosomal RNA
Source: RNAcentral